GCUCAAAUUUGAAAUCUUAAAGGGUUUCCCUUUACGAAUUGUAGUCUAAAGAAGUGUUUUCUGUUGAGGUUUUGGUAAAAGUUCUUUGGAAUAGGACAUCAUAGAGGGUGAGAAUCCCGUAUUUGACCUUUACUUUCAACUUUGUGAUACACUUUCAAAGAGUCGGAUUGUUUGGGAAUGCAGUCCAAAAUGGGUGGUAAAUUUCAUCUAAAGCUAAAUAUUGGCGAGAGACCGAUAGCGAACAAGUACCGUGAGGGAAAGAUGAAAAGAACUUUGAAAAGAGAGUUAAACAGUACGUGAAAUUGUCAAAAGGGAAGCGUUUGACACCAGUGUUGUUUUUCUGAAAAUCAAUUAAAGAACUGUUUAUGCUAAGCUGUUUAGACUUUAUCAGCUAUCUGUUUAGUUUUGAGCUUUUCUUUAAUGCACUUUUCAGUUAACAAG
This 441-nucleotide ribosomal RNA is filed under the name uncultured Neocallimastigomycetes. Its description in RNAcentral is "LSU rRNA". It matches the Rfam family "Eukaryotic large subunit ribosomal RNA", at positions 107 to 543 of the family's 3401-position model. The record is from RNAcentral. Lineage: Eukaryota; Fungi; Neocallimastigomycota; Neocallimastigomycetes.